RNAcentral lists this transfer RNA (95 nucleotides) under Streptomyces rimosus subsp. rimosus. RNAcentral's name for it is "tRNA-Thr". Lineage: Bacteria; Bacillati; Actinomycetota; Actinomycetes; Kitasatosporales; Streptomycetaceae. The record is from RNAcentral.
CGUGAGGACGGGCCGCGGGCGUGGGCUGGCGGCUCGUGCCUGCCGGAGGAACGCUUCGCCGCAGGUGAGCCAGGUUUCGAUGGCCGGCCAUGUGC